GAUUAAAGAUGAUGGAGGAGCUGGAAGGACCUGGGGCUCUAGGGUCUCAAACCCCCAGUGCCACCGGAAAAGUGUGAUUGAAAGGGAAGAUCCACCUCCAACCUCUUGGAAACUGAUGCAGCUCAGCUGGAGACCACCAGACCUUCAUGGGAGUUGGGCAUUGAGGGUGAAAGAGAGCUCCAGAUUUAACACUUCCCCAGCCCUCCUCACACCCAGAGCCUCUCAGUUCCCUCCUCUGUAAAGUGGAGAUUCCAACUUGCCCCCUCUAGGGUUGGUUAGAGGAUUCUGAGGUCCCUGAAUGUCAUCCCCCUCUGCUGGCAAUCUGUGACUUGUCCUUCAAGUCUUCCCGAGUUGACACC
Molecule: long non-coding RNA, 359 nt
Filed under: Mus pahari (shrew mouse)
Lineage: Eukaryota; Metazoa; Chordata; Mammalia; Rodentia; Muridae
Description: lncRNA (MGP_PahariEiJ_G0006177.1)
Source: RNAcentral